CUGGCGGCGUGCUUAACACAUGCAAGUCGAACGCGAAAGGGACUUCGGUCCUGAGUAAAGUGGCGCACGGGUGAGUAACGCGUAGAUAACCUGUCUUCAUGUCUGGAAUAAUACGCCGAAAGGGGUACUAAUACCGGAUAUUCUUGCUUUUCAUAAGUUAUGCAAGCAAAGGUGGCCUCUGCAUAUGCUACUGCAUGAAGAGGGGUCUGCGUACCAUUAGCUAGUAGGUGGGGUAAUGGCCUACCUAGGCGACGAUGGUUAGCGGGUCUGAGAGGAUGAUCCGCCACACUGGCACUGGAACACGGGCCAGACUCCUACGGGAGGCAGCAGUGAGGAAUAUUGCGCAAUGGGGGAAACCCUGACGCAGCGACGCCGCGUGAGUGAAGGAAGGCCUUCGGGUCGUAAAGCUCUGUCAAGAGGAAAGAAGUGUACAAUGGCUAAUACCUGUUGUAUUUGACGGUACCUCUAAAGGAAGCACCGGCUAACUCCGUGCCAGCAGCCGC
This 503-nucleotide ribosomal RNA is filed under the name uncultured bacterium. RNAcentral's name for it is "bacterial SSU rRNA". It matches the Rfam family "Bacterial small subunit ribosomal RNA", at positions 36 to 518 of the family's 1533-position model. The record is from RNAcentral.